CAGCCGCCACGGUAACACGUAGGGUGCGAGCGUUAAUCGGAAUUACUGGGCGUAAAGCGUGCGCAGGCGGUUGUGUAAGACAGGUGUGAAAUCCCCGGGCUCAACCUGGGAACUGCGCUUGUGACUGCACAGCUAGAGUAUGGCAGAGGGGGGUGGAAUUCCACGUGUAGCAGUGAAAUGCGUAGAGACGUGGAGGAACACCGAUGGCGAAGGCAGCCCCCUGGGCCAAUACUGACGCUCAUGCACGAAAGCGUGGGGAGCAAACAGGAUUAGAUACCCCGUAGUCCCUGUCUCUUAUACA
This 301-nucleotide ribosomal RNA is filed under the name uncultured bacterium. RNAcentral describes it as "partial 16S ribosomal RNA". It matches the Rfam family "Bacterial small subunit ribosomal RNA", at positions 509 to 808 of the family's 1533-position model. The record is from RNAcentral.